This 861-nucleotide ribosomal RNA is filed under the name uncultured bacterium. Its description in RNAcentral is "bacterial SSU rRNA". It matches the Rfam family "Bacterial small subunit ribosomal RNA", at positions 60 to 952 of the family's 1533-position model. The record is from RNAcentral.
AGUCGACGAUGAAUCUUCUAGCUUGCUAGAAGUGGAUUAGUGGCGCACGGGUGAGUAAUGCAUAGGUUAUGUGCCCUUUAGUCUGGGAUAGCCACUGGAAACGGUGAUUAAUACUGGAUACUCCCUACGGGGGAAAGUUUUUCGCUAAAGGAUCCGCCUAUGUCCUAUCAGCUUGUUGGUGAGGUAAUGGCUCACCAAGGCUAUGACGGGUAUCCGGCCUGAGAGGGUGAUCGGACACACUGGAACUGAGACACGGUCCAGACUCCUACGGGAGGCAGCAGUAGGGAAUAUUGCUCAAUGGGGGAAACCCUGAAGCAGCAACGCCGCGUGGAGGAUGAAGGUUUUAGGAUUGUAAACUCCUUUUGUUAGAGAAGAUUAUGACGGUAUCUAACGAAUAAGCACCGGCUAACUCCGUGCCAGCAGCCGCGGUAAUACGGAGGGUGCAAGCGUUACUCGGAAUCACUGGGCGUAAAGAGUGCGUAGGCGGGGUAAUAAGUCAGAUGUGAAAUCCUGUAGCUUAACUACAGAACUGCAUUUGAAACUGUUACUCUGGAGUGUGGGAGAGGUAGGUGGAAUUCUUGGUGUAGGGGUAAAAUCCGUAGAGAUCAAGAGGAAUACUCAUUGCGAAGGCGACCUGCUGGAACAUUACUGACGCUGAUGCACGAAAGCGUGGGGAGCAAACAGGAUUAGAUACCCUGGUAGUCCACGCCCUAAACGAUGGAUGCUAGUUGUUGCCUUGCUUGUCAGGGCAGUAAUGCAGCUAACGCAUUAAGCAUCCCGCCUGGGGAGUACGGUCGCAAGAUUAAAACUCAAAGGAAUAGACGGGGACCCGCACAAGCGGUGGAGCAUGUGGUUUAAUUC